RNAcentral lists this ribosomal RNA (253 nucleotides) under uncultured bacterium. RNAcentral describes it as "partial 16S ribosomal RNA". It matches the Rfam family "Bacterial small subunit ribosomal RNA", at positions 524 to 776 of the family's 1533-position model. The record is from RNAcentral.
UACGAAGGGGGCUAGCGUUGCUCGGAAUCACUGGGCGUAAAGCGCACGUAGGCGGCUUUUUAAGUCAGGGGUGAAAUCCUGGAGCUCAACUCCAGAACUGCCUGUGAUACUGGGAAGCUUGAGUCCGGGAGAGGUGAGUGGAACUCCGAGUGUAGAGGUGAAAUUCGUAGAUAUUCGCAAGAACACCAGUGGCGAAGGCGGCUCACUGGCCCGGUACUGACGCUGAGGCACGAAAGCGUGGGGAGCAAACAGG